This 709-nucleotide unclassified non-coding RNA is filed under the name Hevea brasiliensis (rubber tree). The record is from RNAcentral. Lineage: Eukaryota; Viridiplantae; Streptophyta; Magnoliopsida; Malpighiales; Euphorbiaceae.
GACAAGUUACUGUAAUGCAUAUCCUUCAAUACAAUAGAAAACAAAAGAAAAAAAAGGGCAGCCCGGUGAAUUAAAGCUCCUGCUAUGAAUCGAUGCCAUGUAAACUAAAUCUUGCUACUGUAAAGCACUAUGAAUCUAUAAUACAGUGAGAAAAAAUACGCGUCCUGGCAAUCCUCUUCUUGAACAGCUUUCAUUGACGAAGUUCAGAAUAUGUGACAGAAACAUAAGAAUGUUUGCUAGAUCCAGCUUUCACAGGACCUCGCAACGGACAGUAAUACUAAACCUUGCAAUCUGACAUAGAUCAGCAAAUCCAGCAUUUGGUUCCCGGUCUUAGAACUUGGCAUAGGUUGAGAGAAAUUGGUGUCACACGCAUAAUAUUGACUAGAAGUCGAGGUUCCCGGUCUUAGAACUUCCAGAACAAGCACCAGAAGUACCAUAUGAACUACCACUUGAGCCAUCAACUGGGGCUUGAUUAAGGCAUUCUAAAACCAAUGCUCUUCGCUUUCGCAGCUUCAUUGAGAAUGUUGUUGCUUCCAAAAUUGCAGGGACCUGUGUAUUUAUGCGAGCUACUUUGUGUACACUCAGAAGGCCCAGCAUGUCUUGGUAACCAGUUAGGAGUUUCGCCAAUUCUUUGUCCUCAUCAGGAAUUGCUUUGACAGAUAUCAAGGUAUCAGCCAGAUGCUGCCACCUCUUUAAAAAGGCUGGCGAG